CCUACGGGAGGCAGCAGUAGGGAAUCUUCCACAAUGGGCGAAAGCCUGAUGGAGCAACGCCGCGUGGGUGAAGAAGGUCCUCGGAUCGUAAAACCCUGUUGUUAGAGAAGAAAGUGCGUGAGAGUAACUGUUCACGUUUCGACGGUAUCUAACCAGAUAGCCUCGGCUAACUACGUCCCAGCAGCCGCGGUAAUACGUAGGAGGCAAGCGUUAUCCGGAUUUAUUGGGCGUAAAGGGAACGCAGGCGGUCUGUUAAGUCUGAUGUGAAAGCUUUCGGCUUAACCGGAGUAGUGCAUUGGAUACUGGGAGACUUGAGUGCAGAAGAGGAGAGUGGAACUCGAGGUGUAGCGGUGAAAUGCGUAGAUAUAUGGAAGAACACCAGUGGCGAAAGCGGCUCUCUGGUCUGUAACUGACGCUGAGGUUCGAAAGCGUGGGUAGCAAACAGGAUUAGAUACCCGAGUAGUC
RNAcentral lists this ribosomal RNA (465 nucleotides) under uncultured bacterium. Its description in RNAcentral is "partial 16S ribosomal RNA". It matches the Rfam family "Bacterial small subunit ribosomal RNA", at positions 338 to 795 of the family's 1533-position model. The record is from RNAcentral.